This is a long non-coding RNA of Sparus aurata (gilthead seabream), 2115 nucleotides long. The record is from Ensembl. NCBI's taxonomy places the organism in Eukaryota, Metazoa, Chordata, Actinopteri, Spariformes, Sparidae.
GUGUGGUGCCGCCUCCUGCUGGUGGACGGAUUUACUGCAGUGUGUGUGUGUGGUGCCGCCCCCUGCUGGUGGACGGGUUUACUGCAGUGUGUGUGUGUGUGUGUGGUGCCGCCCUCUGCUGGUGGACGGGUUUACUACAGUGUGUGUGUGUAUGUGGUGCCACCCCCUGCCGGUGGACGGGUUUACUGCAGUGUGUGUGUGUGGUGCCGCCCUCUGCUGGUGGACGGGUUUACUGCAGUGUGUGUGUGUGAUGCCGCCCCCUGCUGGUGGACGGGUUUACUGCAGUGUGUGUGUGGUGCCGCCCCCUGCUGGUGGACGGGUUUACUGCAGAGUGUGUGUGUGUGUGGUGCCGCCCCCUGCUGGUGGACGGAUUUACUGCAGUGUGUGUGUGUGUGUGGUGCCGCCCCCUGUUGGUGGACGGAUUUACUGCAGUGUGUGUGUGUGUGUGUGUGUGUGUGGUGCCGCCCCCUGCUGGUGGACAGGUUUACUGCAGUGUGUGUGUGGUGCCGCCCUCUGCUGGUGGACGGGUUUACUACAGUGUGUGUGUGUGUGUGUGUGGUGCCGCCCUCUGCUGGUGGACGGGUUUACUGCAGUGUGUGUGUGUGUGUGAUGACGCCCCCUCCUGGUGGACGGGUUUACUGCAGUGUGUGUGUGUGUGUGUGUGUGUGGUGCCGCCCUCUGCUGGUGGACGGGUUUACUGCAGUGUGUGUGUGGUGCCGCCCCCUGCUGGUGGACGGGUUUACUGCAGUGUGUGUGUGUGGUGCCGCCCCCUGCUGGUGGACGGAUUUACUGCAGUGUGUGUGUUAGUGGUGCCGCCCCCUGCUGGUGGACGGGUUUACUGCAGUGUGUGUGUGGUGCCGCCCUCUGCUGAUGGACGGGUUUACUGCAGUGUGUGUGUGUGUGUGUGUAGUCCCGCCCCCUGCUGGUGGACGGGUUUACUGCAGUGUGUGUGUGUGUGUGAUGCCGCCCCCUGCUGGUGGACGGGUUUACUGCAGUGUGUGUGUGUGUGUGUGUGUGUGUGGUGCCGCCCUCUGCUGGUGGACGGGUUUACUGCAGUGUGUGUGUGGUGCCGCCCCCUGCUGGUGGACGGGUUUACUGCAGUGUGUGUGUGUGGUGCCGCCCACUGCUGGUGGACGGAUUUACUGCAGUGUGUGUGUGUGUGGUGCCGCCCCCUGCUGGUGGACGGGUUUACUGCAGUGUGUGUGUGGUGCCGCCCUCUGCUGGUGGACGGGUUUACUGCAGUGUGUGUGUGUGUGUGUGUGUGGUGCCGCCCUCUGCUGGUGGACGGGUUUACUGCAGUGUGUGUGUGUGUGUGAUGCCGCCCCCUGCUGGUGGACGGGUUUACUGCAGUGUGUGUGUGUAUGUGUGUGUGUGUGGUGCCGCCCUCUGCUGGUGGACGGGUUUACUGCAGUGUGUGUGUGGUGCCGCCCCCUGCUGGUGGACGGGUUUACUGCAGUGUGUGUGUGUGUGGUGCCGCCCCCUGCUGGUGGACAGAUUUACUGCAGUGUGUGUGCGUGGUGCCGCCCCCUGCUGGUGGACGGGUUUACUGCAGUGUGUGUGUGUGUAUGUGUGUGUGUGUGUGCCGCCCUCUGCUGGUGGACGGGUUUACUGCAGUGUGUGUGUGGUGCCGCCCCCUGCUGGUGGACGGGUUUACUGCAGUGUGUGUGUGUGGUGCCGCCCACUGCUGGUGGACGGAUUUACUGCAGUGUGUGUGUGUGUGUGGUGCCGCCCCCUGCUGGUGGACGGGUUUACUGCAGUGUGUGUGUGUGGUGCCGCCCCCUGCUGGUGGACGGGUUUACUGCAGUGUGUGUGUGGUGCCGCCCCCUGCUGGUGGACGGUUUACUGCAGUGUGUGUGUGUGUGUGAUGCCGCCCCCUCCUGGUGGACGGGUUUACUGCAGUGUGUGUGUGUGUGUGUGUGUGGUGCCGCCCCCUGCUGGUGGACGGGUUUACUGCAGUGUGUGUGUGUGUGUGGUGCCGCCCUCUGCUGGUGGACGGGUUUACUGCAGUGUGAGUGUGGUGCCGCCCCCUGCUAGUGGACGGGUUUACUGCAGUGUGUGUGUGUGUGUGUGUGAUGCUGCUCUCUGCUGGUAGAUAGGUUUACUGCAGUGUGUGUG